CCUACGUGAGGCAGCAGUGGGGAAUAUUGCACAAUGGGGGGAACCCUGAUGCAGCGACGCCGCGUGAGUGAAGAAGGAUUUCGGUAUGUAAAGCUCUUUCAGCAGGGAAGAAAAUGACGGUACCUGACUAAGAAGCCCCGGCUAACUACGUGCCAGCAGCCGCGGUAAUACGUAGGGGGCAAGCGUUAUCCGGAUUUAUUGGGUGUAAAGGGAGCGUAGACGGUUAUGCAAGUCUGAAGUGAAAGCCCAAGGAUCAACCAUGGGACUGCUUUGGAAACUGUAAAACUGGAGUGCAGGAGAGGUAGGCGGAAGUCCUGGUGUAGCGGUGAAAUGCGUAGAUAGUAGGAGGAACACCGGUGGCGAAGGCGGCUUACUGGGCUGUAACUGACGUUGAGGCUCGAAGGCGUGGGGAGCAAACAGGAUUAGAUACCCGAGUAGUC
RNAcentral lists this ribosomal RNA (440 nucleotides) under uncultured bacterium. RNAcentral's name for it is "partial 16S ribosomal RNA". It matches the Rfam family "Bacterial small subunit ribosomal RNA", at positions 338 to 795 of the family's 1533-position model. The record is from RNAcentral.